GCAAGUCGAGCGAAUGGAUUGAGAGCUUGCUCUCAUGAAGUUAGCGGCGGACGGGUGAGUAACACGUGGGUAACCUGCCCAUAAGACUGGGAUAACUCCGGGAAACCGGGGCUAAUACCGGAUAAUAUUUUGAACUGCAUGGUUCGAAAUUGAAAGGCGGCUUCGGCUGUCACUUAUGGAUGGACCCGCGUCGCAUUAGCUAGUUGGUGAGGUAACGGCUCACCAAGGCAACGAUGCGUAGCCGACCUGAGAGGGUGAUCGGCCACACUGGGACUGAGACACGGCCCAGACUCCUACGGGAGGCAGCAGUAGGGAAUCUUCCGCAAUGGACGAAAGUCUGACGGAGCAACGCCGCGUGAGUGAUGAAGGCUUUCGGGUCGUAAAACUCUGUUGUUAGGGAAGAACAAGUGCUAGUUGAAUAAGCUGGCACCUUGACGGUACCUAACCAGAAAGCCACGGCUAACUACGUGCCAGCAGCCGCGGUAAUACGUAGGUGGCAAGCGUUAUCCGGAAUUAUUGGGCGUAAAGCGCGCGCAGGUGGUUUCUUAAGUCUGAUGUGAAAGCCCACGGCUCAACCGUGGAGGGUCAUUGGAAACUGGGAGACUUGAGUGCAGAAGAGGAAAGUGGAAUUCCAUGUGUAGCGGUGAAAUGCGUAGAGAUAUGGAGGAACACCAGUGGCGAAGGCGACUUUCUGGUCUGUAACUGACACUGAGGCGCGAAAGCG
This 724-nucleotide ribosomal RNA is filed under the name Bacillus sp. CH160c. Its description in RNAcentral is "bacterial SSU rRNA". It matches the Rfam family "Bacterial small subunit ribosomal RNA", at positions 57 to 761 of the family's 1533-position model. Lineage: Bacteria; Bacillati; Bacillota; Bacilli; Caryophanales; Bacillaceae. The record is from RNAcentral.